Molecule: ribosomal RNA, 1625 nt
Filed under: human gut metagenome
Description: bacterial LSU rRNA
Rfam family: Bacterial large subunit ribosomal RNA
Source: RNAcentral
GAAUGCCGGUGUGAGUAGCGGAACGUGGGUGAGAAUCCCACGCACCGAAAACCCAAGGUUUCCAGAGGAAGGUUCGUCCGCUCUGGGUAAGUCGGGACCUAAGGCGAGGCCGAAAGGCGUAGUCGAUGGACAACAGGUAGAGAUUCCUGUACCCGUAUAUAUGUGAAGGAAUGACGGAGAGAGGAAGCUGCAGCCAGCGGCUGGAAGAGCUGGUGCAAGCGAGAUAUCGGGAUGGCAGGCAAAUCCACCAUCCGAAACGAGAAGGCGUGAAGCGUACGGAAAGCUACGGCGAGUACGGAAGGCAGUGGAGGAACUUCCAAGAAAAGUUUCUAACGUUAAGUAUAUAUGGCCCGUACCGAAAAUGGACACACAUGGGUGAGGAGAGAAUCCUAAGGUGAGCGAGAGAACUAUAGCUAAGGAACUCUGCAAAAUGACUCCGUAACUUAGGGAGAAGGAGUGCUCAUAGAGAUAUGAGCCGCAGUGAAACGGCCCAAGCGACUGUUUACCAAAAACACAGCUCUCUGCUAAGCCGCAAGGCGAAGUAUAGGGGGUGACGCCUGCCCGGUGCUGGAAGGUUAAGGGGAGGGGUUAACGCAAGUGAAGCCCUGAACUGAAGCCCCAGUAAACGGCGGCCGUAACUAUAACGGUCCUAAGGUAGCGAAAUUCCUUGUCAGGUAAGUUCUGACCCGCACGAAAGGCGUAACGAUUUGGGCGCUGUCUCAGCUGUAGACUCGGUGAAGUCUUAGUACCUGUGAAGAUGCAGGUUACCCGCGACUAGACGGAAAGACCCCAUGGAGCUUCACUGCAGGUUGAUAUUGGGAUUUGAUGCAGCAUGUACAGGAUAGGUAGGAGGCAAAGAGAUGGAUACGCCAGUAUUCAAGGAGCCGCUGUUGGGAUACUACCCCUGUUGUAUUGGAUUUCUAACCGGACGACGUAGAGCCGUUGACGGGACAGUGUCAGUCGGGCAGUUUGACUGGGGCGGUCGCCUCCCAAAGAGUAACGGAGGCGCCCAAAGAUACCCUCAGCUUGGAUGGAAACCAAGCGCAGAGUGCAAAGGCAAAAGGGUGUUUGACUGCGAGACCCACAAGUCGAGCAGGGACGAAAGUCGGGCUUAGUGAUCCGGCGGUGCUGAAUGGAAAGGCCGUCGCUCAACGGAUAAAAGCUACCCUGGGGAUAACAGGCUGAUCUCCCCCAAGAGUUCACAUCGACGGGGAGGUUUGGCACCUCGAUGUCGGCUCAUCGCAUCCUGGAGCUGAAGUCGGUUCCAAGGGUUGGGCUGUUCGCCCAUUAAAGCGGUACGCGAGCUGGGUUCAGAACGUCGUGAGACAGUUCGGUCCCUAUCUGUCGUGGGCGCAGGAAAUUUGAGAAGAGCUGUCCUCAGUACGAGAGGACCGGGAUGGACGCAUCAAUGGUGGACCAGUUGUCACGCCAGUGGCAUAGCUGGGUAGCUAAAUGCGGAAGGGAUAAACGCUGAAGGCAUCUAAGUGUGAAACCCACUUCAAGAUGAGAUUUCCCAUUGCGCAAGCAAGUAAGACCCCUUAAAGACGAUAAGGUAGAUAGGUCAGGAGUGUAAGCAUGGUGACAUGUUAAGCGGACUGAUACUAAUAGGUCGAGGGCUUGACCGA